This 339-nucleotide unclassified non-coding RNA is filed under the name soil metagenome. RNAcentral describes it as "partial contains 5.8S ribosomal RNA, internal transcribed spacer 2, and large subunit ribosomal RNA". The stretch from base 1 to 120 matches the Rfam family "5.8S ribosomal RNA", at positions 35 to 154 of the family's 154-position model. The record is from RNAcentral.
GAUGAAGAACGCAGCGAAAUGCGAUAAGUAAUGUGAAUUGCAGAAUUCCGUGAAUCAUCGAAUCUUUGAACGCACAUUGCGCCCCCUGGUAUUCCGGGGGGCAUGCCUGUCCGAGCGUCAUUGCAACCCUCAAGCGCGGCUUGUGUGUUGGGCUUCGUCCCCCCGUGGACGUGCCCGAAAGGCAGUGGCGGCGUCCCGAAUGGUGCCCGAGCGUAUGGGAACUCUCUUCCGCUCGAACCGGCCCAUUCGGCGCUGGUCGAACCCCAAUUUUUUUUUACCGGUUGACCUCGGAUCAGGUAGGGAUACCCGCUGAACUUAAGCAUAUCAAUAAGCGGAAGA